This 376-nucleotide ribosomal RNA is filed under the name uncultured Gammaproteobacteria bacterium. RNAcentral's name for it is "bacterial SSU rRNA". It matches the Rfam family "Bacterial small subunit ribosomal RNA", at positions 521 to 896 of the family's 1533-position model. Lineage: Bacteria; Pseudomonadati; Pseudomonadota; Gammaproteobacteria. The record is from RNAcentral.
UAAUACGAGGGGUGCAAGCGUUAAUCGGAAUUACUGGGCGUAAAGCGUGCGUAGGCGGUUUGUUAAGCAAGAUGUGAAAGCCCAGGGCUCAACCUUGGAACUGCAUUUUGAACUGGCAGACUAGAGUACUGUAGAGGGUGGUGGAAUUUCCAGUGUAGCGGUGAAAUGCGUAGAGAUUGGAAGGAACAUCAGUGGCGAAGGCGGCCACCUGGACAGAUACUGACGCUGAGGCACGAAAGCGUGGGGAGCAAACAGGAUUAGAUACCCUGGUAGUCCACGCCGUAAACGAUGUCAACUAUCCGUUCGUAGACUUGAUCUGUGAGUGGAGCAGCUAACGCAAUAAGUUGACCGCCUGGGGAGUACGGCCGCAAGGUUA